AGAGUUUGAUCCUGGCUCAGGAUGAACGCUGGCGGCGUGCCUAACACAUGCAAGUCGCGGGAGAAGUGCCUUCGGGCGCGGAAACCGGCGCACGGGUGAGUAACACGUAGCUUAUUUACCCCUUAGAGGUGGAUAACCUUUGGAAACAGCGGCUAAUACACCAUAAGCUCACGGUCUCUAGAGGGCUGCGAGAAAAGUUCAGGCGCUAAGGGAUGAGGCUGCGAGCCAUCAGCUAGUUGGUGCGGUAACGGCGUACCAAGGCGACGACGGCUAGGGGACCUGAGAGGGUGACCCCCCACACUGGAACUGAGAAACGGUCCAGACUUCUACGGAAGGCAGCAGUGAGGAAUAUUGCACAAUGGGCGCAAGCCUGAUGCAGCGACGCCGCGUGGGUGAAGAAGGAUUUCGGUCUGUAAACCCCUUUUCUGUGUGACGAGAGUGGACGGUAGCACAGGAAUAAGUCUCGGCUAACUACGUGCCAGCAGCCGCGGUAAAACGUAGGAGGCAAGCGUUAUCCGGAGUAACUGGGCGUAAAGGGCGGGUAGGUGGUUGUGUAAGUUGGUUAUGAAAGCUCCUGGCUAAACUGGGAGAGGUUGACCAAGACUGCAGAACUUGAGUGGAGAAGAGGUAAACGGAAUUCCGCGUGUAGUGGUGAAAUGCGUAGAGAUGCGGAAGAACACCAGUGGCGAAGGCGGUUUACUGGUCUCCAACUGACACUGAGCCGCGAAAGCAUGGGUAGCGAACGGGAUUAGAAACCCCGGUAGUCCAUGCCGUAAACGAUGCACACUAAACGUUCGUAAUCCGCGAGGGUUGUGAGUGUUGAAGCUAACGCGAUAAGUGUGCCGCCUGGGGAGUACGGUCGCAAGGCUAAAACUCAAAGGAAUUGACGGGGGCCCGCACAAGCAGCGGAGCGUGUGGUUUAAUUCGAGAGUACGCGAAGAACCUUACCUAGGUUUGACAUGAAUGUGGUACGAGUCGGAAACGACGAGGACUCUUCGGAGAGCAUUCACAGGUGCUGCAUGGUUGUCGUCAGCUCGUGCCGUGAGGUGUUCGGUUAAAUCCGCAAACGAGCGCAACCCUCGGCGUUAGUUACGAGUGUCUAACGCGACUGCCCGUGGCAAACGGGAGGAAGGUGGGGAUGACGUCAAAUCAGCAUGGCCUUUAUAUCUAGGGCUACACACACGCUACAAUGGCGCGUACAGUGGGUCGCGAAACCGCGAGGUGGAGCCAAUCCUAAAAAGCGCGUCACAGUUCGGAUUGUAGGCUGCAACUCGCCUGCAUGAAGUCGGAGUUGCUAGUAACCGCGUAUCAGCACGGCGCGGUGAAUACGUUCCCGGGCCUUGUACACACCGCCCGUCACGUCAUGGGAGUUGGUUACGCCUGAAGUCGGGAAGCUAACCGCAAGGAGGCUACCGCCGAAGGCAGGACUGAUGACUGGGACGAAGUCGUAACAAGGUA
Molecule: ribosomal RNA, 1458 nt
Filed under: metagenome
Description: bacterial SSU rRNA
Rfam family: Bacterial small subunit ribosomal RNA
Source: RNAcentral